RNAcentral lists this transfer RNA (88 nucleotides) under Dipodomys ordii (Ord's kangaroo rat). It matches the Rfam family "tRNA". From Rfam's summary of the family: Transfer RNA (tRNA) molecules are approximately 80 nucleotides in length. Their secondary structure includes four short double-helical elements and three loops (D, anti-codon, and T loops). Lineage: Eukaryota; Metazoa; Chordata; Mammalia; Rodentia; Heteromyidae. The record is from Rfam by way of RNAcentral.
GGAGGUAUGGCUUAAGUGGUAGAGCAUCUGCUGUCAGAAAGCAAGCCAAGUGAGAAUAAAGCCCUGAGUUCAAACCCCAGUACCACCA